RNAcentral lists this ribosomal RNA (253 nucleotides) under uncultured bacterium. RNAcentral describes it as "partial 16S ribosomal RNA". It matches the Rfam family "Bacterial small subunit ribosomal RNA", at positions 524 to 776 of the family's 1533-position model. The record is from RNAcentral.
UACGUAGGGUGCGAGCGUCGUCCGGAAUUAUUGGACGUAAAGGGCUCGUAGGCGGUUUGUCACGUCGGGAGUGAAAACUCAGGGCUCAACCCUGAGCCUGCUUCCGAUACGGGCAGACUAGAGGUAUGCAGGGGAGAACGGAGUUCCUGGUGUAGCGGUGAAAUGCGCAGAUAUCAGGAGGAACACCGGUGGCGAAGGCGGUUCUCUGGGCAUUACCUGACGCUGAGGAGCGAGAGUGUGGGGAGCGAACAGG